RNAcentral lists this ribosomal RNA (800 nucleotides) under uncultured bacterium. RNAcentral's name for it is "bacterial SSU rRNA". It matches the Rfam family "Bacterial small subunit ribosomal RNA", at positions 8 to 825 of the family's 1533-position model. The record is from RNAcentral.
AGAGUUUGAUCCUGGCUCAGGAUGAACGCUGGCGGCGUGCUUAACACAUGCAAGUCGAACGGUUAAACCGCACUUGUGCGGACAUAAAGUGGCGAACGGGUGAGUAACACGUGACCAACCUGCCCCGUGCAUCGGGACAACCGCCGGAAACGGCGGCUAAUACCGGAUAACGCUUGAAGGCCGCAUGGCCUCCAAGCCAAAGCUUUCGCGGCACGGGAUGGGGUCGCGGCCCAUCAGGUAGUAGGCGGGGUAGCGGCCCACCUAGCUUUCGACGGGUAGCCGGACUGAGAGGUCGAUCGGCCACAUUGGGACUGAGAUACGGCCCAGACUCCUACGGGAGGCAGCAGUGGGGAAUUUUGCGCAAUGGGGGAAACCCUGACGCAGCAACGCCGCGUGCGGGAUGAAGGCCUUCGGGUCGUAAACCGCUUUCAGCAGGGAAGAAACAUGACGGUACCUGCAGAAGAAGCCCCGGCUAAAUACGUGCCAGCAGCCGCGGUAAUACGUAUGGGGCAAGCGUUAUCCGGAUUCAUUGGGCGUAAAGCGCGCGUAGGCGGGCGCCUAAGCGGGACCUCUAAUCCGAAGGCUCAACCUUGCGGUCGGGUUCCGAACUGGGCGCCUCGAGUUGGGUAGGGGAGGUCGGAAUUCCCGGUGUAGCGGUGGAAUGCGCAGAUAUCGGGAAGAACACCGAUGGCGAAGGCAGGCCUCUGGGCCUUAACUGACGCUGAGGCGCGAAAGCUAGGGGAGCGAACAGGAUUAGAUACCCUGGUAGUCCUAGCCGUAAACGAUGGCGCUAGGUGUGG